Molecule: long non-coding RNA, 692 nt
Organism: Bactrocera neohumeralis
Lineage: Eukaryota; Metazoa; Arthropoda; Insecta; Diptera; Tephritidae
Exons: 3
Source: RefSeq, a predicted model, not a curated record
UUUAAGUAUAAAUUUUUGUAAUCACAAACUACAUACACGUUUUAUAUGUCAGAAUUUAGCUAUACGCCGGCGAUCAGGAAUCCUACUCGUUCCCAAAUGGAGUGUUUGACCAUCCUAACAGAUUUACCAUAUUAAUUUUUAGUUCCAAGCUAAGUUUUUAAAUAAAAAUGAUUCUUAAAAUAAUUAUUUUUUGAAUUUGCAAUAUCUAUUUAGUAGUAAAAAGGAGUUUAAAUUAGCUUACGCAACACUAUUUUGCCAUGCUCAAUAGCAAUACUGGCAUUAUAUUUGAAAAUAUUCAAUCUGACGGACGGACGGUCAUUUUAAAAGUAAGUUAUUUAAGUUUUGAAUAUAAUUAUUACUUUAUUAUUAUUUUCACAGAUCAAUCCUAUCCCGUUCCUGUUCCGAUCGAUCGACAGAAGGAAAAUGCCUCGCAAAUGUAUAUUAGGGUGUGAAUGCUCGUUACGGCUACACAAAUUUCCUGGGGAGCGAGAAAUGCCCAUAUGGCAGAACCUUAAAAUGUUGUAUAUAUGUACUCAUAUAUAUGUAACUUGAAGUGGUGGAUUGAAAUCAAUGAAACACUCAAUUUAAAAUUUUUGGAUCAUACGUUAUUUUGCAUAUUGGGUGCAUAUAUGUAUAAUAAAUAAUUCAAUACAGUGAAAAAUUCAUAAACGAAUAAAGGUGAACACGUUUUU